AAUACCUGAUAUUCUUUACAUUUCGCAUGAAAUCAAAAGGAAAGGUCAGCCGAACUAAGAUGAGCUCGCGUUCUAUCAGCUAGUUGGUGAGGUAAAAGCUCACCAAGGUUACGACGGAUAGCUGGUCUGAGAGGACGAUCAGCCACACUGGGACUGAUACACGGCCCAGACUCCUACGGUAGGCUGCAGCAGGGAAUAUUGCGCAAUGAGCGAAAGCUUGACGCAGCGACACCGCGUGUGGGAUGACGGAUCUAGGUUUGUAAACCACUUUCAGGAGGGAAGAAAAUGACGGUACC
This 296-nucleotide ribosomal RNA is filed under the name uncultured bacterium. RNAcentral describes it as "partial 16S ribosomal RNA". It matches the Rfam family "Bacterial small subunit ribosomal RNA", at positions 165 to 479 of the family's 1533-position model. The record is from RNAcentral.